CGGCCCCUGCGGGGUACGUGACGGGCUCUCAGAAAGAAGAUGAACCAACGGAUUCCGUUCGGGAGCCGCCUCUGCCGGCGGUGAGCGAUCUCCAACGCGGGAUUGCCUGAAGCCGGUAUCGUGGCGCCCACCUGGUGAAGGCGGGUUCAUUGCCUUCGGUUGCCUUGACGGCCCUUGCGGGGGACAU
RNAcentral lists this non-coding RNA (187 nucleotides) under Deltaproteobacteria bacterium. RNAcentral's name for it is "6S RNA". It matches the Rfam family "6S / SsrS RNA". Rfam says of the family: E. coli 6S RNA was the first non coding RNA to be sequenced, but its function was unknown until recently. The record is from RNAcentral. Lineage: Bacteria; Pseudomonadati; Myxococcota; Myxococcia.